GGGGGAUUAGCUCAGUUGGCUAGAGUGUCUCGAUGGCAUCGAGAAGGUCGGGGGUUCGAAUCCCCCAUUCUCCACUA
This 77-nucleotide transfer RNA is filed under the name Cardinium endosymbiont of Sogatella furcifera. RNAcentral's name for it is "tRNA-Ala". It matches the Rfam family "tRNA". Rfam says of the family: Transfer RNA (tRNA) molecules are approximately 80 nucleotides in length. Their secondary structure includes four short double-helical elements and three loops (D, anti-codon, and T loops). The record is from RNAcentral. Lineage: Bacteria; Pseudomonadati; Bacteroidota; Cytophagia; Cytophagales; Amoebophilaceae.